This 468-nucleotide ribosomal RNA is filed under the name uncultured bacterium. Its description in RNAcentral is "partial 16S ribosomal RNA". It matches the Rfam family "Bacterial small subunit ribosomal RNA", at positions 28 to 507 of the family's 1533-position model. The record is from RNAcentral.
GACGAACGCUGGCGGCGUGCUUAACACAUGCAAGUCGAACGGAAAGGCCCUGCUUUUGUGGGGUGCUCGAGUGGCGAACGGGUGAGUAACACGUGAGUAACCUGCCCUUGACUUUGGGAUAACUUCAGGAAACUGGGGCUAAUACCGGAUAGGAGCUCCUGCUGCAUGGUGGGGGUUGGAAAGUUUCGGCGGUUGGGGAUGGACUCGCGGCUUAUCAGCUUGUUGGUGGGGUAGUGGCUUACCAAGGCUUUGACGGGUAGCCGGCCUGAGAGGGUGACCGGCCACAGUGGGACUGAGAUACGGCCCAGACUCCUACGGGAGGCAGCAGUGGGGAAUAUUGCACAAUGGGCGGAAGCCUGAUGCAGCAACGCCGCGUGCGGGAUGGCGGCCUUCGGGUUGUAAACCGCUUUCGCCUGUGACGAAGCGUGAGUGACGGUAAUGGGUAAAGAAGCACCGGCUAACUACGUG